CUGAAACCUCUGGAGUUAACCCCCGCCUACUGCCAGUCCACUUCGCCGGGUAACUGAUGAGGCUGGAGUGAUGGGUCUGAUGGUGGAGUGGCGUAGCUGGCAGCGAUGGGCGUAAAGAUGGAAUGGCGUGGUUGAUGGAGCAGGCGAUGGACUGGCCAAUGAGCACAGCAAAACGCUUGUUCGUGGAGAUGGUGAGAAGGGACACAGGGAACAGAUACAUUUCUGAGACACAGAUCUGGAGAUCCACAGGUGGUGCUCUAGGCUAUGAAGGCAGCACCAACGUUCCUGUAGGUGGUGAUUAAUCAACAGCUGCACUGCCCACUCCGGCCACUUUCAGUUUCUGCCUUCAGAAAACACAAACACCAAAAUCGGAAACGCUGUGCACGCGCUGCCACGACUCGGUCAGCCACACAUUGAUGAAUGGCCUUUAAUAUGCAGGGAACACAGCUUAUGUAACUGGUGUUAGUGGGCUGUCACAUAGCGCCUGUGCAGCAGAGAGCCUUAUCUAGUAUGUUGGGAAGGAAGGACUCAGACACUGUGAAACAGGCUGUGAAAUUCAAAUUUGAGGGGACAUUACGUGGCGAAUUGUGUGAAUGUGCUUUUUCAGCCUUGCUGUCACGUCUUUAUGCUGCCGAUGAAUGCAA
Long non-coding RNA from Anguilla anguilla (European eel), 644 nucleotides. RefSeq lists it as uncharacterized. Lineage: Eukaryota; Metazoa; Chordata; Actinopteri; Anguilliformes; Anguillidae. The transcript is spliced from 4 exons. The record is from RefSeq and is a predicted model, not a curated record.